This 292-nucleotide ribosomal RNA is filed under the name uncultured bacterium. Its description in RNAcentral is "partial 16S ribosomal RNA". It matches the Rfam family "Bacterial small subunit ribosomal RNA", at positions 505 to 796 of the family's 1533-position model. The record is from RNAcentral.
GUGUCAGCCGCCGCGGUAAUACGUAGGAUCCUAGCGUUGUCCGGAUUUACUGGGUGUAAAGGGUGCGCAGGCGGACUUGUAAGUCAGGGGUGAAAUCUCGGCGCUUAACGCCGAAACUGCCUUUGAUACUAUAAGUCUUGAGUUUGGUAGAGAUCCGUGGAAUUCCGAGUGUAGCAGUGAAAUGUGUAGAUAUUCGGAAGAACACCAGCGGCGAAGGCAGCGGAUUGGGCCAAUACUGACGCUCAGGCACGAAAGCAUGGGGAUCAAACAGGAUUAGAAACCCCCGUAGUCC